UGAGGAAUAUUGGUCAAUGGGCGAGAGCCUGAACCAGCCAAGUCGCGUGAAGGAAGACAGUCCUAAGGAUUGUAAACUUCUUUUAUACGGGAAUAACGGGCGAUACGAGUAUUGCAUUGAAUGUACCGUAAGAAUAAGCAUCGGCUAACUCCGUGCCAGCAGCCGCGGUAAUACGGAGGAUGCGAGCGUUAUCCGGAUUUAUUGGGUUUAAAGGGUGCGUAGGUUGUUCGGUAAGUCAGCGGUGAAACCUGAGCGCUCAACGUUCAGCCUGCCGUUGAAACUGCCGGGCUUGAGUUCAGUGGCGGCAGGCGGAAUUCGUGGUGUAGCGGUGAAAUGCAUAGAUAUCACGAGGAACUCCGAUUGCGAAGGCAGCUUGCCAUACUGCGACUGACACUGAAGCACGAAGGCGUGGGUACCAAACAGGAUUAGAUACCCUGGUAGUCCACGCAGUAAACGAUGAUUACUAGGAGUUUGCGAUAUACCGUCAAGCUUCCACGGCGAAAGCGUUAAGUAAUCCACCUGGGGAGUACGCCGGCAACGGUG
Molecule: ribosomal RNA, 543 nt
Filed under: uncultured bacterium
Lineage: Bacteria
Description: bacterial SSU rRNA
Rfam family: Bacterial small subunit ribosomal RNA
Source: RNAcentral